This 76-nucleotide transfer RNA is filed under the name Gammaproteobacteria bacterium. Its description in RNAcentral is "tRNA-Ile". It matches the Rfam family "tRNA". From Rfam's summary of the family: Transfer RNA (tRNA) molecules are approximately 80 nucleotides in length. Their secondary structure includes four short double-helical elements and three loops (D, anti-codon, and T loops). RNAcentral also lists the same sequence under 2 other names. Lineage: Bacteria; Pseudomonadati; Pseudomonadota; Gammaproteobacteria. The record is from RNAcentral.
GGGCCUGUAGCACAGCGGUUAGUGCAGGGGACUCAUAAUCCCUUGGUCGUAGGUUCGAAUCCUACCGGGCCCACCA